AGGGUACCUCAUUUAUCACAUUUACUGACAUACAAGGGGUGUAGGGUAUCUCAUUUAUCACAUUUACUGACAUACAAGGGGUGUAGGGUACCUCAUUUAUCACAUUUACUGACAUACAAGGGGUGUAGGGUACCUCAUUUAUCACAUUUACCGACAUACAAGGGGUGCAGGUUAUCUCAUUUAUCACAUUUACCGACAUACAAGGGGUGUAGGUUAUCUCAUUUAUCACAUUUACCGACAUACAAGGGGUGCAGGUUAUCUCAUUUAUCACAUUUACCGACAUACAAGGGGUGUAGGUUAUCUCAUUUAUCACAUUUACCGACAUACAAGGGGUGCAGGUUAUCUCAUUUAUCACAUUUACCGACAUACAAGGGGUGUAGGUUAUCUCAUUUAUCAUAUUUACCGACAUACAAGGGGUGUAGGUUAUCUCAUUUAUCACAUUUACCGACAUACAAGGGGUGCAGGUUAUCUCAUUUAUCACAUUUACCGACAUACAAGGGGUGCAGGUUAUCUCAUUUAUCACAUUUACCGACAUACAAGGGGUGUAGAUUAUCUCAUUUAUCACAUUUACCGACAUACAAGGGGUGAAGGUUAUCUCAUUUAUCACA
Long non-coding RNA from Eriocheir sinensis (Chinese mitten crab), 608 nucleotides. RefSeq lists it as uncharacterized. The record is from RefSeq and is a predicted model, not a curated record. The transcript has 3 exons. Lineage: Eukaryota; Metazoa; Arthropoda; Malacostraca; Decapoda; Varunidae.